This 24-nucleotide non-coding RNA is filed under the name Arabidopsis thaliana (thale cress). The record is from RNAcentral. Lineage: Eukaryota; Viridiplantae; Streptophyta; Magnoliopsida; Brassicales; Brassicaceae.
AUCAGCUUCAGUUGACCAGUCCGC